This 494-nucleotide ribosomal RNA is filed under the name uncultured bacterium. RNAcentral's name for it is "partial 16S ribosomal RNA". It matches the Rfam family "Bacterial small subunit ribosomal RNA", at positions 28 to 507 of the family's 1533-position model. The record is from RNAcentral.
GACGAACGCUGGCGGCGUGCUUAACACAUGCAAGUCGAACGGAAAGGCCUGCUUUCCCUUGUGGAUUGCGGGUACUCGAGUGGCGAACGGGUGAGUAACACGUGAGUGAUCUGCCCCCAACUUGGGUAUAAGCCUGGGAAACUGGGUCUAAUUCCCGAUAGGACUGCAGGGUGGUGCCUGUGGUGGAAAACGAUUUUCUAGUGGUUGGGGAUGAGCUCGCGGCCUAUCAGCUUGUUGGUGGGGUAAUGGCCUACCAAGGCGGCGACGGGUAGCCGGCCUGGGAGGGUGGACGGCCACAUUGGGACUGAGAUACGGCCCAGACUCCUACGGGAGGCAGCAGUGGGGAAUAUUGCACAAUGGGCGGAAGCCUGAUGCAGCGACGCCGCGUGGGGGAUGACGGGCUUCGGGUUGUAAACUCCUUGCGACCGCGAGGAAGCCACCUGGUUGGAAGGGUGGUGACGGUAGUGGUAGAAGAAGCACCGGCUAACUACGUG